UAUGGCUGACUAGGCAUCCAGAAAAACAAACUUUGUAUUUCUUCACAAGUCCAGUAGUUUGAGCUUCAUGUAAGUUUGUUUUCCAAGGUGAAAGAUACCUUGUCUGGACCUAAAGAGCUUUUUCUUCUUCAUGGAUAGAUGUGCAUGGUGUCUUAUCGUGGUGGUCUUGAGCUGCAGACACAGUCACACCGCUCAUGG
Molecule: long non-coding RNA, 198 nt
Organism: Microtus oregoni (creeping vole)
Lineage: Eukaryota; Metazoa; Chordata; Mammalia; Rodentia; Cricetidae
Exons: 3
Source: RefSeq, a predicted model, not a curated record